UUAAGCGACUAAGUGUACACGGUGGAUGCCCUGGCAGUCAGAGGCGAUGAAGGACGUGCUAAUCUGCGAUAAGCGUCGGUAAGGUGAUAUGAACCGUUAUAACCGGCGAUUUCCGAAUGGGGAAACCCAGUGUGUUUCGACACACUAUCAUUAACUGAAUCCAUAGGUUAAUGAGGCGAACCGGGGGAACUGAAACAUCUAAGUACCCCGAGGAAAAGAAAUCAACCGAGAUUCCCCCAGUAGCGGCGAGCGAACGGGGAGCAGCCCAGAGCCUGAAUCAGUGUGUGUGUUAGUGGAAGCGUCUGGAAAGGCGCGCGAUACAGGGUGACAGCCCCGUACACAAAAAUGCACAUAUUGUGAGCUCGAUGAGUAGGGCGGGACACGUGGUAUCCUGUCUGAAUAUGGGGGGCCCAUCCUCCAAGGCUAAAUACUCCUGACUGACCGAUAGUGAACCAGUACCGUGAGGGAAAGGCGAAAAGAACCCCGGCGAGGGGAGUGAAAAAGAACCUGAAACCGUGUACGUACAAGCAGUGGGAGCACGCUUAGGCGUGUGACUGCGUACCUUUUGUAUAAUGGGUCAGCGACUUAUAUUCUGUAGCAAGGUUAACCGAAUAGGGGAGCCGAAGGGAAACCGAGUCUUAACUGGGCGUUAAGUUGCAGGGUAUAGACCCGAAACCCGGUGAUCUAGCCAUGGGCAGGUUGAAGGUUGGGUAACACUAACUGGAGGACCGAACCGACUAAUGUUGAAAAAUUAGCGGAUGACUUGUGGCUGGGGGUGAAAGGCCAAUCAAACCGGGAGAUAGCUGGUUCUCCCCGAAAGCUAUUUAGGUAGCGCCUCGUGAAUUCAUCUCCGGGGGUAGAGCACUGUUUCGGCAAGGGGGUCAUCCCGACUUACCAACCCGAUGCAAACUGCGAAUACCGGAGAAUGUUAUCACGGGAGACACACGGCGGGUGCUAACGUCCGUCGUGAAGAGGGAAACAACCCAGACCGCCAGCUAAGGUCCCAAAGUCAUGGUUAAGUGGGAAACGAUGUGGGAAGGCCCAGACAGCCAGGAUGUUGGCUUAGAAGCAGCCAUCAUUUAAAGAAAGCGUAAUAGCUCACUGGUCGAGUCGGCCUGCGCGGAAGAUGUAACGGGGCUAAACCAUGCACCGAAGCUGCGGCAGCGACGCUUAUGCGUUGUUGGGUAGGGGAGCGUUCUGUAAGCCUGCGAAGGUGUGCUGUGAGGCAUGCUGGAGGUAUCAGAAGUGCGAAUGCUGACAUAAGUAACGAUAAAGCGGGUGAAAAGCCCGCUCGCCGGAAGACCAAGGGUUCCUGUCCAACGUUAAUCGGGGCAGGGUGAGUCGACCCCUAAGGCGAGGCCGAAAGGCGUAGUCGAUGGGAAACAGGUUAAUAUUCCUGUACUUGGUGUUACUGCGAAGGGGGGACGGAGAAGGCUAUGUUGGCCGGGCGACGGUUGUCCCGGUUUAAGCGUGUAGGCUGGUUUUCCAGGCAAAUCCGGAAAAUCAAGGCUGAGGCGUGAUGACGAGGCACUACGGUGCUGAAGCAACAAAUGCCCUGCUUCCAGGAAAAGCCUCUAAGCAUCAGGUAACAUCAAAUCGUACCCCAAACCGACACAGGUGGUCAGGUAGAGAAUACCAAGGCGCUUGAGAGAACUCGGGUGAAGGAACUAGGCAAAAUGGUGCCGUAACUUCGGGAGAAGGCACGCUGAUAUGUAGGUGAAGUCCCUUGCGGAUGGAGCUGAAAUCAGUCGAAGAUACCAGCUGGCUGCAACUGUUUAUUAAAAACACAGCACUGUGCAAACACGAAAGUGGACGUAUACGGUGUGACGCCUGCCCGGUGCCGGAAGGUUAAUUGAUGGGGUCAGCGCAAGCGAAGCUCUUGAUCGAAGCCCCGGUAAACGGCGGCCGUAACUAUAACGGUCCUAAGGUAGCGAAAUUCCUUGUCGGGUAAGUUCCGACCUGCACGAAUGGCGUAAUGAUGGCCAGGCUGUCUCCACCCGAGACUCAGUGAAAUUGAACUCGCUGUGAAGAUGCAGUGUACCCGCGGCAAGACGGAAAGACCCCGUGAACCUUUACUAUAGCUUGACACUGAACAUUGAGCCUUGAUGUGUAGGAUAGGUGGGAGGCUUUGAAGUGUGGACGCCAGUCUGCAUGGAGCCGGCCUUGAAAUACCACCCUUUAAUGUUUGAUGUUCUAACGUGGACCCGUGAUCCGGGUUGCGGACAGUGUCUGGUGGGUAGUUUGACUGGGGCGGUCUCCUCCUAAAGAGUAACGGAGGAGCACGAAGGUUGGCUAAUCCUGGUCGGACAUCAGGAGGUUAGUGCAAUGGCAUAAGCCAGCUUGACUGCGAGCGUGACGGCGCGAGCAGGUGCGAAAGCAGGUCAUAGUGAUCCGGUGGUUCUGAAUGGAAGGGCCAUCGCUCAACGGAUAAAAGGUACUCCGGGGAUAACAGGCUGAUACCGCCCAAGAGUUCAUAUCGACGGCGGUGUUUGGCACCUCGAUGUCGGCUCAUCACAUCCUGGGGCUGAAGUAGGUCCCAAGGGUAUGGCUGUUCGCCAUUUAAAGUGGUACGCGAGCUGGGUUUAGAACGUCGUGAGACAGUUCGGUCCCUAUCUGCCGUGGGCGCUGGAGAACUGAGGGGGGCUGCUCCUAGUACGAGAGGACCGGAGUGGACGCAUCACUGGUGUUCGGGUUGUCAUGCCAAUGGCACUGCCCGGUAGCUAAAUGCGGAAGAGAUAAGUGCUGAAAGCAUCUAAGCACGAAACUUGCCCCGAGAUGAGUUCUCCCUGACCCUUUAAGGGUCCUGAAGGAACGUUGAAGACGACGACGUUGAUAGGCCGGGUGUGUAAGCGCAGCGAUGCGUUGAGCUAACCGGUACUAAUGAACCGUGAGGCUUAACCUU
RNAcentral lists this ribosomal RNA (2902 nucleotides) under Shigella sonnei. RNAcentral's name for it is "bacterial LSU rRNA". It matches the Rfam family "Bacterial large subunit ribosomal RNA". Lineage: Bacteria; Pseudomonadati; Pseudomonadota; Gammaproteobacteria; Enterobacterales; Enterobacteriaceae. The record is from RNAcentral.